ACAUAACAUUACAGGUGCCACAAAAAUGGCGAGCAGUAUCGCAGCUAUCCAGCUGUACAGUUUUGAGUCAGAUUCCAGCUUAGGCGAGGAAAGCAAAGAUGGAUCUAUUUAAGCGGAUGCAUCAGAAUGGAGCAGAACAGGGAGCUUGUUACAGCGACAUUCUUUUUUCUGACAUUUUUUCCUCUGCAUCUGCUUCACCAUAAUUAGAAUAAAAAUGAUCAUAAAUGCUAAUUUUUUGCCUAAUUUAAUUUAUAUAUGUAACCUCUUGGGUUUAUUUAUUACAAAUAAAACGUGUAUACAUUUUCAUUUCCGGCAGUCUUUCCUAUGUUUUAUUUACUCGCUAAGUUAAAAUUGUCAAAAAUAGUUUAAUAUGAAAUAUUGAUGGGACCAGAUCAACGUGAAGUGUUUCUUUGAAUGUGAUUGGUUGUUCGUGGGGUUUCAGUUAUAACCCAGCACGAGCCCAACGGGGCGUGAAAAACAGGUUUUCACCGAAGGAAUACUAAUUAUUGACUACAUAACUGUAUUUUUUUAAUAAUUUAUUUUUGCUUAAGAGAUUUGAUUUUUUUAACUCCUGAUGGAUAGAACUUUUUUUUUUCCUUCUCUCUUUUUGUUUUCUUGGUGCACUGGACUGAACCGUAAAAGGGGUUUUCUUUCUUUCGGUUAUUUUUCUUUCAAAUUCUAACUUUGGUCCAACGUUACUUUACAGUAGCCAGUCGCUCACUUUUACUAUAUGUCAUGGUCCUCCUGCGCUCCUCCUCCACAUCCUAAUUGGACCCAGCUGUCGGCACUCAUCACCUCCACUCCAGCCUAUUUAAGAGGAGCCCUCCCCAGCAUUCUUCGCCAGUUCGUUGCCUUACCCGGUCUUUUCCUCCCAUGUGCCGACCUGGGUCCUGCCUCGCCUAAGCAUCUCGUCUUGGACCACGCCGAUCCUCACCACUCCACGCACCGGCUGCCGGACUCACCUGGUUACUCCACCUGGCCGCUCCAGUCCGCAGCAAGUCUUCGUUCCCAAGCCUCUACCUUCGAUCCUGGUUCCGGACACUACGCCAUUAUCCCCACGGACAAUAAAACUUUAUUUAAACCUC
Molecule: long non-coding RNA, 1085 nt
Organism: Oryzias melastigma (Indian medaka)
Lineage: Eukaryota; Metazoa; Chordata; Actinopteri; Beloniformes; Adrianichthyidae
Exons: 2
Source: RefSeq, a predicted model, not a curated record